GCGUUGAUGGUGUAGUGGUAACAUUGAAGCUUCCCAUCCCAUAUAUCCAGAUCCAGAGGCGCCAGGCCAACCGGGUUAGGACUUGGGGACAUGCUUCAGCCUCGGGUUCGAUUCCCGGUCAACGCA
Molecule: non-coding RNA, 126 nt
Organism: Bimuria novae-zelandiae CBS 107.79
Lineage: Eukaryota; Fungi; Ascomycota; Dothideomycetes; Pleosporales; Didymosphaeriaceae
Source: the annotation of a GenBank genome assembly